AGGACAUGCCCAUAGUAAAGCCAUGCUGGUUUUCCUAUAUCACCUCCCUCUAUUCCACAUGCAUUAACAUAGCUUCUGGAAAGAUCUAUUUCAUGAUCUUUCACAGCACUGAGAUAAGGAUGACAGAACGGAUUCCCUGGAGGUUUUGUCUGCAGAGCAAAAGUUGGCUUUACUAAAAUUAAGCUUCCUGAUUUUGUCCAUCUGAUAUGCCUCAGGAGUGUGGUCUCCAGCAUUUCAUGGUCACUACAGCCCAGGCAGCCUCCAAUCCUGAUGUCACCAAUCAGUUCACUUACACCGGAGAAGCACACUUGUGGUACUGCUGUUCUACUCACAACGGAGAUAUCCAGUGAACUAACUGGAAAUGGAAGCAGUAUAGCUGCUCCAGCAGAGUACCAAAUGGGGCAAUCUUCAGCUAAUGUAUCAGAGUGCACACAACUAUUUGCCAUAACUUCAGUUAGUGCUGCACUGUGCCAUGUCCUGAUUUCAACCCAGACAGAGCCAAUCACACAGCUGUUUGGCUGUUGCUGAGUGAUGGGUGCUGGGCUGCUCAGCAGCAAAGAGGCACCACCAUGAUGGUGUGGAGCAGGAGGUGGAGGCAGUACAUGCUGGGCUGAGCUGUAUCUAUGGCCUACCUAGUAUACCUUAGCUCAAAAGUAGUGUUAAAAUACAUCCUCCAAACAUGUGCAGUUUGCUGAUAUCAAGGUUUUAACGUGAAACUAAAGUUUGACUAAGAUUUGUCAAAAGAAAACAACGCUCUUAGAUUCCUAUUUCUGUAUGCUUCAGAUCCUCAUAAAACAAACAAACAAACAAAACCUUUUUGCCGUCGUUGUGUUCUUAGUAUUUUGUGUUCUUAUUGGUGA
Molecule: non-coding RNA, 860 nt
Organism: Meleagris gallopavo (turkey)
Lineage: Eukaryota; Metazoa; Chordata; Aves; Galliformes; Phasianidae
Source: RefSeq, a predicted model, not a curated record